GACGAACGCUGGCGGCGUGCUUAACACAUGCAAGUCGAACGGAAAGGCCCUGAUUUUGUGGGGUGCUCGAGUGGCGAACGGGUGAGUAACACGUGAGUAACCUGCCCUUGACUUUGGGAUAACUUCAGGAAACUGGGGCUAAUACCGGAUAGGAGCUCCUGCAGCAUGGUGGGGGUUGGAAAGUUUCGGCGGUUGGGGAUGGACUCGCGGCUUACCAGCUUGCUGGUGGGGUAGUGGCUUACCAAGGCUUUGACGGGUAGCCGGCCUGAGAGGGGAGCCGGCCACAUUAGGACUGAGAUACGGCCCAGACUCCAACGGGAGGCAGCAGUGGGGAGUAUUGCACAGUGGGCGGAAGCCUGAUGCAGCAACGCCGCGGGCGGGAUGACGGCCUUCGGGUUAUAAACCGCUUUCGCCUGUGACGAAGCGUGAGUGACGGUAAUGGGUAAAGAAGCACCGGCUAACUACGUG
This 468-nucleotide ribosomal RNA is filed under the name uncultured bacterium. Its description in RNAcentral is "partial 16S ribosomal RNA". It matches the Rfam family "Bacterial small subunit ribosomal RNA", at positions 28 to 507 of the family's 1533-position model. The record is from RNAcentral.